AAACUUUUAACAACGGAUCUCUUGGUUCUGGCAUCGAUGAAGAACGCAGCGAAAUGCGAUAAGUAAUGUGAAUUGCAGAAUUCAGUGAAUCAUCGAAUCUUUGAACGCACAUUGCGCCCCCUGGUAUUCCGGGGGGCAUGCCUGUUCGAGCGUCAUUAU
RNAcentral lists this ribosomal RNA (159 nucleotides) under Cladosporium sp. 128UFPR. RNAcentral's name for it is "5.8S ribosomal RNA". It matches the Rfam family "5.8S ribosomal RNA". From Rfam's summary of the family: 5.8S ribosomal RNA (5.8S rRNA) is a component of the large subunit of the eukaryotic ribosome. The record is from RNAcentral. Lineage: Eukaryota; Fungi; Ascomycota; Dothideomycetes; Cladosporiales; Cladosporiaceae.